Molecule: long non-coding RNA, 87 nt
Organism: Atta colombica
Lineage: Eukaryota; Metazoa; Arthropoda; Insecta; Hymenoptera; Formicidae
Exons: 4
Source: RefSeq, a predicted model, not a curated record
CUCACACACAACUUGUUUUAUUUACAUUUAAAAAUCGAGCGUCCUUAUUGAAAGACCCUUUAUAUACGUAUUGUGAUUAUGCGAACA